AGAGUUUGAUCCUGGCUCAGGAUGAACGCUGGCGGCGUGCUUAACACAUGCAAGUCGAACGAACCUUCGGGUUAGUGGCGGACGGGUGAGUAACGCGUGAGAAUCUGCCCUCAGGAGGGGGAUAACGGCUGGAAACGGCCGCUAAUACCCCAUAUGCCGCGAGGUGAAACGAAAUUCGCCUGAGGAUGAGCUCGCGUCUGAUUAGCUAGUUGGUGGGGUAAGAGCCUACCAAGGCAUCGAUCAGUAGCUGGUCUGAGAGGAUGAUCAGCCACACUGGGACUGAGACACGGCCCAGACUCCUACGGGAGGCAGCAGUGGGGAAUUUUCCGCAAUGGGCGAAAGCCUGACGGAGCAACGCCGCGUGAGGGAUGAAGGCCUCUGGGCUGUAAACCUCUUUUAUCAAGGAAGAAGAUCUGACGGUACUUGAUGAAUAAGCCACGGCUAAUUCCGUGCCAGCAGCCGCGGUAAUACGGGAGUGGCAAGCGUUAUCCGGAAUUAUUGGGCGUAAAGCGUCCGCAGGCGGUCUUUUAAGUCUGUUGUUAAAGCGUGGAGCUUAACUCCAUUUCAGCAAUGGAAACUGGAAGACUAGAGUGUGGUAGGGGCAGAGGGAAUUCUCGGUGUAGCGGUGAAAUGCGUAGAUAUCGGGAAGAACACCAGUGGCGAAGGCGCUCUGCUGGGCCAUAACUGACGCUCAUGGACGAAAGCCAGGGGAGCGAAAGGGAUUAGAUACCCCUGUAGUCCUGGCCGUAAACGAUGAACACUAGGUGUCGGGGGAAUCGACCCCCUCGGUGUCGUAGCCAACGCGUUAAGUGUUCCGCCUGGGGAGUACGCACGCAAGUGUGAAACUCAAAGGAAUUGACGGGGGCCCGCACAAGCGGUGGAGUAUGUGGUUUAAUUCGAUGCAACGCGAAGAACCUUACCAGGGUUUGACAUCCUGCGAAUCCCUUGGAAACGAGGGAGUGCCUUCGGGAGCGCAGUGACAGGUGGUGCAUGGCUGUCGUCAGCUCGUGUCGUGAGAUGUUGGGUUAAGUCCCGCAACGAGCGCAACCCACGUCGUUAGUUGCCAGCAUUCAGUUGGGCACUCUAGCGAGACCGCCGGUGAUAAACCGGAGGAAGGUGUGGAUGACGUCAAGUCAUCAUGCCCCUUACAUCCUGGGCUACACACGUACUACAAUGCUACGGACAAAGGGCAGCAAACUCGCGAGAGCUAGCAAAUCCCAUAAACCGUGGCUCAGUUCAGAUCGUAGGCUGCAACUCGCCUACGUGAAGGAGGAAUCGCUAGUAAUCGCAGGUCAGCAUACUGCGGUGAAUACGUUCCCGGGCCUUGUACACACCGCCCGUCACACCAUGGAAGUUGGCCACGCCCGAAGCCGUUACUCCAACCCUUGUGGAGGAGGAUGUCGAAGGUGGGGCUGAUGACUGGGGUGAAGUCGUAACAAGGUAACC
This 1446-nucleotide ribosomal RNA is filed under the name uncultured marine bacterium. RNAcentral's name for it is "bacterial SSU rRNA". It matches the Rfam family "Bacterial small subunit ribosomal RNA". The record is from RNAcentral.